UACGGGGGGGGCAAGCGUUGUUCGGAAUUACUGGGCGUAAAGGGCCUGUAGGCGGCCAACUAAGUCGGAUGUGAAAUCCCCAGGCUCAACUUGGGAACUGCAUCCGAUACUGGAUGGCUUGAAUUCGGGAGAGGGAUGCAGAAUUCCAGGUGUAGCGGUGAAAUGCGUAGAUAUCUGGAGGAAUACCGGUGGCGAAGGCGGCAUCCUGGACCGACAUUGACGCUGAACGGCGAAAGCUAGGGGAGCAAACGGG
Molecule: ribosomal RNA, 253 nt
Filed under: uncultured bacterium
Lineage: Bacteria
Description: partial 16S ribosomal RNA
Rfam family: Bacterial small subunit ribosomal RNA
Source: RNAcentral